RNAcentral lists this ribosomal RNA (2224 nucleotides) under Triticum aestivum (bread wheat). RNAcentral describes it as "partial small subunit ribosomal RNA". Lineage: Eukaryota; Viridiplantae; Streptophyta; Magnoliopsida; Poales; Poaceae. The record is from RNAcentral.
ACUUGGAAGUAAAACAGGUAAGAGCUCACAAGAACAGAAGAGGGAAAGGUUUUUUACAGGAGAACUUGAACCUUGUGGCACCCCUUUUUUCAGAAGAAAAGAAGAGCCCUCGAGGGUCGGUACCUUUUCCUACUCGGUCGGACCCAGGCGGCGUAUACACUCCUAGUGGAGCUUCGAGGGGAGCCAGAGGAGAGUAUGAAGCACCAAGAGUGAGUGUGUGGAGCACCGACCCUGACGCGUAUCAAACCGACGGGCGCACGCAGCAGCUAGAGGGUCCGGCAGUUGCCCAUCAUACCGGGACUAUAGUCGACGGACUCCCUCCUACGCUCGAGCAGAUUGAGCUGCCACGUCAACGUCAUCCGAUGCUAACUACGCUACUUCCACGCCUAGAGCAAGGGGAAUCGAGAACGUCUAACACCAACACCCCUAGGACCCCCACAAUAGAGGCAGGGGCUCGCGGCCCGGCCUCCGCAGCAACGACAGGGGUUCGCUCGUGCGGCGCGUAGCAGAAGUUGGAGCUAUCGGUGUUGGGGUGAAGUCGUAGCGUAACAAGGUGGACGUCCAGGGGGGAGAGGCAAAAGGAAAAAGACAGAAACAUGCUGACUUGGUUACAUGAAAUUCCAUAAAGAAUUGUCACUGUUUACCAUAUAUAACCGACGAUAACUUUACUCUAUAAUCAUUCAGACCUACGGCUUGUGUCGAAUUCCGUUUAACAAUUAAUCAAAUACACGGCAGGUGAAAAAAGUCCCGCACUCUGGCCUUAGCGUCAAACAGUAAUCACAUAAACACUAAUCGAUAUCAAAAUUAUAAAGGGUUUCUGUUUAAUUAAAAUUAUUGACUCAUCAUUUUAAUCCAUACUAACGUAAGAUGUAUACUUUAUAUUGCUACUAGACUACGAGAGUUGUAAGCCACCUUAUAUUUUAACUAUUACGUACUAAUCAACUCAAAUUAGCCAAGACCGAGAGGUACAAACUACGACACUUCGUCUUAUACACAUUUCGUGAUGGCUCAAAACGAUAGGACCGGUAAAUCAGGACGACAUGUCACCUCUAAGGUUGUCAGUAUGUCAGGUACCAACGACGAUCAAUCAUCCAAGUAUCACAUUGGGGGGAAUUUUUAAUCAAGAAAACAAAUAAUCGUUGAAGUAAGGAAAGACAUAAUAUCAAACUCGUGGAGAAAUCUAUCGCUUAAGAAACUAGAGUAAAUAAACGACAAAGAUGGUUCACAAACAGGAAUACAAACAUCAGUAAGUAACUUAUACUUCUCGUUUUUUCACUUUAGGGCUCAACCUCUCCACGUCCAGAUAGUAUUCCUACACAAGUAAAAGCCCUUACUAAUACGUCUAGUCUGUACAAUGCCUACAUGUAGAAGUUAACUAUCGUGUUAGGUGUGUCGUAUUACGUCGCCGGUGGUACGGUCUAACAAGGCCUCCGAAGGAAAAAAAUUAACGAGUUGUUACUCCAACACCCUGUAUUCCUACUUUCUCACUUCCGGAAUAGACGUUUACACCUCUCCCCACGUCCAUGUGUGGUUCUCCCUCUUAAAGCCGUCGACCUUUAGACCUGGACUUUUUCGAUGCAGUCCGAUGGAUAAGACGUGUUGAGGUUUACACGACUUUGAAGUGCCCCUAAGAAAUACCUUAUAUAUUCUUUAUGACCUCGCUUAUUGAUGGUCUCCCCUCGGUGGUCCACCCGUGUUGGGUGGACCCGCGCGGUACCGGGGGUCCGUGCGGGACCACCCAACACCGGAGGAGCCGGGUGGAGGCCACGGGUAGAAGAUCAUAUAUCCAGUAAAACUGGAUCUUUUUUAUUCUCCUCCUGAAAGCCCUGCUUCGCGGCGGCGGAGCUCCGUCCUUGUGAAAUCGGGAGGCCGCCUCGUUAAGGAGUCCCCCUUGAAGGGAGGACCUCCCCCUUUAGUAGCAGUAGUAGUAGUAGUUGUUGAGAGGGUAGAACUCCUCCCGUUAGAGGUAGUUGUAGAAGUUGUAGUGGUAGAGUAGAGUUUGGGAUCAAGUAGAGAACACAAGUUAGAACAAUGGCCUUGAUAUCUAACCACGAACACCCACUGAUCAUCACAACUAAUGUAGAACAUCAGCUAAUGACAUACCAAAUAAACCACCUUCUAAUAUACAAGUCUAGGUUGUACGAUAAAUUAUGAAUAGACUAGUACUCGUACAAAUAGUAAACACUCAUCAAUGAAAACAAGAACUCUAGUGUCCUCUUUAGUA